Molecule: ribosomal RNA, 253 nt
Filed under: uncultured bacterium
Lineage: Bacteria
Description: partial 16S ribosomal RNA
Rfam family: Bacterial small subunit ribosomal RNA
Source: RNAcentral
UACGGGGGGGGCAAGCGUUGUUCGGAAUUACUGGGCGUAAAGGGCGCGUAGGCGGCCUGCUAAGUCGAACGUGAAAUCCCCGGGCUCAACCCGGGAACUGCGUCCGAUACUGGUGGGCUUGAAUCCGGGAGAGGGAUGCGGAAUUCCAGGUGUAGCGGUGAAAUGCGUAGAUAUCUGGAGGAACACCGGUGGCGAAGGCGGCAUCCUGGACCGGUAUUGACGCUGAGGCGCGAAAGCCAGGGGAGCAAACGGG